This 208-nucleotide ribosomal RNA is filed under the name uncultured bacterium. RNAcentral describes it as "partial 16S ribosomal RNA". It matches the Rfam family "Bacterial small subunit ribosomal RNA", at positions 568 to 774 of the family's 1533-position model. The record is from RNAcentral.
CGCGCAGGCGGUCCGGUAAGUCGGAAGUGAAAUCCGUCGGCUCAACCGACGAACGGCUUCCGAUACUGCCGGACUUGAGUACGGGAGAGGAAAGCGGGAAUUCCCAGUGUAGAGGUGAAAUUCGUAGAUAUUGGGAAGAACACCGGUGGCGAAGGCGGCUUUCUGGACCGAUACUGACGCUGAGGCGCGAAAGCGUGGGGAGCAAACA